CUGGCUCAGAACGAACGCUGGCGGCGCGUCUUAAGCAUGCAAGUCGAACGGCAAGAGGUAGCAAUACCUCCUAGAGUGGCGGACUGGUGAGUAACACGUGGGUGACAUACCCUUCAGAUGGGGAUAGCUAUUAGAAAUAGUAGAUAAUACCGAAUACGAGCACAGGGGUUAGAGAUCUGUGAGGAAAGGAGCUAAGGCUCCGCUGAAGGAAUGGCCUGCGGCCCAUUAGCUAGUUGGUGAGGUAAGAGCCCACCAAGGCGAUGAUGGGUAUCCGGCCUUAGAGGGUGAACGGACACAUUGGGACUGAGAUACGGCCCAGACUCCUACGGGAGGCAGCAGCUAAGAAUAUUCCGCAAUGGACGAAAGUCUGACGGAGCGACGCCGCGUGGAUGAAGAAGGCCGGAAGGUUGUAAAAUCCUUUGAAACUGAAGAAUAAGCGUUGUAGGGAAUGACAGCGUGGUGACAGUAGGUUUUGAAUAAGCAACGGCUAAUUACGUGCCAGCAGCCGC
RNAcentral lists this ribosomal RNA (509 nucleotides) under uncultured bacterium. Its description in RNAcentral is "bacterial SSU rRNA". It matches the Rfam family "Bacterial small subunit ribosomal RNA", at positions 19 to 518 of the family's 1533-position model. The record is from RNAcentral.